UACGAAGGGGGCUAGCGUUGCUCGGAAUCACUGGGCGUAAAGCGCACGUAGGCGGAUCAGUUAGUCGGGGGUGAAAUCCCGGGGCUCAACCCCGGAACUGCCUUCGAUACUGCUGGUCUGGAGUCCGAGAGAGGUGAGUGGAAUUCCGAGUGUAGAGGUGAAAUUCGUAGAUAUUCGGAGGAACACCAGUGGCGAAGGCGGCUCACUGGCUCGGUACUGACGCUGAGGUGCGAAAGCGUGGGGAGCAAACAGG
This 253-nucleotide ribosomal RNA is filed under the name uncultured bacterium. Its description in RNAcentral is "partial 16S ribosomal RNA". It matches the Rfam family "Bacterial small subunit ribosomal RNA", at positions 524 to 776 of the family's 1533-position model. The record is from RNAcentral.